This 317-nucleotide long non-coding RNA is filed under the name Elaeis guineensis (African oil palm). RNAcentral's name for it is "long non-coding RNA (EGUI_LNC004100)". The record is from RNAcentral. Lineage: Eukaryota; Viridiplantae; Streptophyta; Magnoliopsida; Arecales; Arecaceae.
AUAGCUAUAUGGGAGGUGGUUUUGGAUUGAUUUGCGAUCAUAUGAAUAAUAGCAAAAAGGAUAAAUCUUUCACCUCUAUUUAAUUGAUCUCCACUUGGGCACAUCGGUACCAAUGAAGUUAUCGACGGAAAGCGAGCAUUCUUCAGGACUCUAUUGAAAUAUUCAGAUAAAUUAGUGGUCAUCAUUCCAAAUUUUCGACCACCAUCAUGUGCAAGAGACCAUCUAUCUACAGAAAUUUCAAUCAAAUAUUGAAAGGCUUUCGAGUUCAUUUUUUCAAUCUUGCUUAUAUACUUGUCGAACUUCCUAAGUUGUGUUUG